Molecule: long non-coding RNA, 306 nt
Filed under: Androctonus crassicauda
Lineage: Eukaryota; Metazoa; Arthropoda; Arachnida; Scorpiones; Buthidae
Source: RNAcentral
CGUGUGCUCUUCCGAUCUACUUAAUAGAGUCCUGCCGAUGUCAAUCUACCGUAUCACUUUACCCGUACAAUCCAAGAGAAUUCUCGACAACACUAAGAGCAUAUGUUUCAAAUUCGCUGUUUCCGAUGCUAAAAGAAGAUAUUAUCGCCUUAGGUCGAGGCUGACUCCUCUCCUCCCCCCUGCCGGUUUGCCGAAUGGUUCCAGCAUGGACAGAAAGAUUUCCGAUUUCGAGGCCUCGGUGGUCCGCUUCCGGGAUGAUCUCCGUCAGCGGCGUGUCGGAGAACUUGGGUGGAUCUUCCGUCAUCG